RNA transcript from Pangasianodon hypophthalmus (striped catfish), 5220 nucleotides. It is a transcript of the gene named phospholamban, with no coding region annotated. The record is from RefSeq and is a predicted model, not a curated record. NCBI's taxonomy places the organism in Eukaryota, Metazoa, Chordata, Actinopteri, Siluriformes, Pangasiidae. The transcript is spliced from 2 exons.
UAGGCAGUGAGCCAAGGACUGGAAGUGAAAAUCCCUUUUCUAACACACCAGAUCCAACUAAUGAGCCAAUUAACAGGUCCUUGAAUCAACACCACAAGAGUAGGGAUUUUACUAAAUCUGAAUCGAAAGGUUUUUGCACCCGACAAACAGAACUGCAAAAUUGAAGUGUUCAAAGAUACACAAGUACACACAGGCAUACACAAAAAGAGCUUUGGAUAUCCCGAGAUGACCUUGCUAUGAGACACAUGAUGACAGGUGAGGCACAGAGCGGCUCUGCGCACUAAGCUAAGUGAAGAGGUGCGACGUAAAUAUAUUGCUGCUAAUAAGCAGAUGUACCAUUAAAACUAGCCAAAGGGCAAGGCUGGGACUUGUGAAUGCACAAACCAGCCACGGCUAGCAGUAAACAGUCCAUAAACAAAGGAACGUUCUGAACAAGGUCAACUCUAACAGCCAUCCUUCCACAGCGCCUCCGUUUUAAUGAGCUACUCCGUAAGCCGUGCCCUCCAUUAGUCUUGCACAAACGGCGCCGGUGGUCCUUCGCGUUUUCCAUCGGGGGGGCAUAAUGGUGUGCGUAACUGACACUCGGCUUGCAAGGCAUGAUAAUGAACAAUAAGAACUUGACCACGAGGGAUGGUGCAGACGAGCUGCUGUAGGUCAUGCUGGACAAGUGGCGGACAUGGCUUAGCCAACUCAUGGCUCAAAGGAUUAAAACACCCUACUCAGAUGACGUGCCUCUGACUUCCAUCUUCCAUUCUCCAGUGGCUCUCUGAGUAUAGCCAAUAACAGCGGUAUUCAGUACACAAGUGCGUACGCUUGUCUCUGAGUACCUGGGAUUCAGCUGCGGGGGUUUAACCUGUGCCAAAAACCGUACUGUCUCAUCCAGGGGAAGCACAGCCAGCACAUGCCACUGCGGUGUCCUGAUCACCCUUCCUCUCCGGUUAAAAAUGCACUCUUGGAACUCGCUCUGCUUGAAAGUGCCAAGCACCUUAUAAGGAAGAGGAAGCUCAGAGCUGUUUUUGUCUCUGGAGCUUAUGAAAAACUCAGUGACAACAUUCCCAGGAGAACCCCUGUAAAAGUUGGAAUCCAGUUGUUUGGAAGCCAAAGGUCAAGAAUAGGAAAAAAGGUGGGUGGACAAGGUCAGUGGAAGAGGUCAUGCAAAGCAUACACUUAUCUGGCUACAACAUCAAUUGAAUACUUACGUUAAUCCUCCAGCAGGAGAACAGACAAUGAGAAAGUACUGUGUGCAGUCAGAGAAUAAACAGAGUGUUCGUUAAGGGAUUCAUGGGAAGAUUUUUGACGAAUAAAAUUUAACCUUUAAGUUAACCAGCCAUGCUAGAACAAAUUCACAACAUAAUGGAUGGGAAAAAAAACAUAAAAGCUGAACAACAGACAAAAAAUGAACCAUAACACAACCAUAGCAGAACGGAGACACAAUUUAAAAAAUGUAUAGAAGUGCUUACUAUUCGGGGUUUAACUGGCGGUUUUCUAAACACUACAUAAACGCAUGAAGCUUAGUGAUUUUCACAUGAAGAAUAAAAAAAAGCUGUUUUAAAAGUAGCAACAUGUAGCAAAAUAUUAAAGUGUGACAUAUAAACAAAAAAUAAAGAUGUACUGUACUGUGUAAAAGUCUUAGGCACCCUAUUUUUCUUUAGUACAAACGUUGUUAUAGAUUUUUAUUUUAUGAUUCUACAUUAUUGGUUCAGUACAAAAACAUUUUAGAUUCCAAACAUUAGUUUUCCAGCACAAAAUUAAAUGUUACAGAAAAAUGUUUGUAUGUCAGUAAAGAAAGCAGCAUAAGAGACCACGUUUCAGAUAAAAAACAUAAUGAAGGCUGCUGGGUUUCGCUGCAAAAAUAAGAAGCAAGUCGACAGUCAAAGUCUCCAGAAGAACUGUGGCUGCUUCUGCAAGAUGCUCAGUAACACUUCCAGCUCAUUUCCUUAUAAAACUGCACACACUGCACCGGAGAUACUGGGUUUCUUUUAAACGUGAAGGAUCGUCACACCAAAUAUUGACUUUGUUUCAUUUAUUACUGUUUACUGCUCUUUAUAGUAUUUUUUUUUAGUGUAGAAUCAUUUAAUUUCAUUAUUUUUGAAGGUAUCUUUACUCUACAGCAUGUCUUUACAUGUGCCUAAGACCUUUGCACAGUACUGUAUAAAGAAUCACCAACUGAUAUAAUUACAUCAUGGCACUUCUAAAUUGAAUCUUCAGGCCUCGAGAGAUUUCACCCCUGCUGUUCCUAACCAUCAGCACAACACGCAAAACUAAUUUGCACAGCAAAAUUAAUAACAAACUUCUCAAUUCUCAAACUGAUUACCUCUGAUAAGUGUGAAAACGGGACAAAGAGAGUCUGAGAGACUGUAUUUAGCUUCAGAGAAAUCAGUGCCCCGAUCCUUUUAUGGAGAAAUUAAUUUAAAAGCUACUUUGAGCUGAGGAAAAAAAAACAGGCCUUAGAAAACAAAAGUGUGAGAUGAGAGCCCAGAGAGAUCAGACCCCUCCUACGCAUCUCGUUUUGCUAUCAUCCCCUUGAUUUCUCCACCCCUCUGCGCUCUUUCACUCAUAAACUCUCAGACAUCCUGAACAAAACUCCCAGAGCGCACUGUCAGCCGCUGAAGCAGUGUGUGAACCGGAGCGAGGACGUAAAACCCACCCGCGGAGGCUGGACCUCACUGCCGCGGCCUCGCUUCUACAGGCUCAGCUCUUUCCAUGUGUGAAGGAUGGACAGCGUGGUGUAACCUCGUCCUCCUCCCGGCACCGCACGCUUAGCACGUCUGUCCCUGAGCCACACGGUGCCUCACUGCGAGCUCGCACUCUGCGAUUGUCCAGCUCCGACACACCAGCUCUGAAAUCUUCACCAUGGAUCUCACCAACAACCGGGGUCUCAACCUGCUGCUCAACUUCCUGCUCAUCGUCAUCGUGCUGCUGCUCAUGCUCAUUCUGGUCAAGCUCAUGUGACCUGAGCUGAGCUGCUCACCAAGCACGCAAGACUUAAUAUGGCCUGAACACAUUUACUACAGAGGGAGAGGCAUCGGUCUCUCUCUCUCUCUCUCUCUCUCUCUUUCUCUCUCUCACACGACUUGUCUGUUUGAGUGUCUGUUCCACUUUCUCACUUUAUAAAUCGCAAUUUGAUGCAUCGCUUUAAGACUAAGUGCUCCUUAAAGCAACGUAGGAGGUCUUUUAUGUGGAAAAGAUGUGCGUGUUUUAACGACAACCUAAAAUCAAAACUGACCUUUUUACCAUGAGAGCGCACAUCCUUGUUCAGAUUGUGCUUGAAAAACAAUUCUAAUUUGUCCAUAAUCUUCCACUAAAGUGCAGCACUAAACGUUUUCCUGCCUCUAAAUAGCCUCAGACUUUUAGCUACGUCACUGUGAAAAUAACGGACGGGAUUAAAAAAUAAAAACCAUUCAGCAAAGGCAUGCUGAGACGCCCACUUUUCAUAAGCCAGUCAAAGUCUGAGGGAUAAAACCCAAAGCCCACUAAUACAUGCUGUUUUACCCAGAAAUGUCAGUUUAAAGCCCUAUUUGGAUUGGAUUCGUUUUAUACGUGGAGGUGGACUAAUGUAAUUAUUACCAAUGUAUCUCUGGGAUUUUGGUCUGAAUCCGUCAUGUCAGAUAAAAUAUAGAUGACGUUUAAAAUAACUUUUCAGAGAAGUGAUGCUUUUGGGGUUUUAGGGAAGUUAUUGAGCUCCACAUGCGCACAGGUAAAGCUUACAUACAUGUCAUGGUCAUGUGACCUUUUGCUCAAACACAACUUGUGCAGCCACAAGACUUACAACAUGUGCUUAUAAUAGAGGUCAAUACGAUCAGUUUGGUGUAUGUAACAGGAGCGUAAACCUCAGGCUUCAAUUCUUACCAGACUUGUGUCUGAAAAUCUUAUCCAUCCGAACAGCACUUAAGACACGUAAGUGAUAAACACGGCUUCCUACUCGCUUGCACCAUCUGGUGGUGAUGUUUAUACUGCAGUGAUUAAAACCCUAAGACCAAUGUCUUUAAUUCCACUCCUCCAUCCUUCUCCCAAUGCCCUAUAAACUGCACAGUGCAUUAUGGGAGAUCUGCAGACCCUAGGCUACACUGUUCGAUUUGGUCUGAUGAUAAAACUUCUCACUACAUAGUGAACAUGGGUAGGGUAUCGACUUUGCCUCUCAAACAUACCUGAUUCAGCUGACUAGGAGCUGGGUGAUAAGACUCGAUUGUUACUCAUGGUGACGAACAGCUGGUGUGUACCAAAUGUUUCAUUUUUAAAGUGUUUUAUUUGUCUGGACGUCAAAUGAAAUGUCUUUAAAACCGUCCUUGUCACAGAAACUUUUAAAUGCGGCACUAGGGGUGGGUGAUAUGACAAAAGUCAUAUAUCAUGAUACUUAAAGAUAUAUAUAGAUAUAUAUAUAUAUAUAUAUAUACACACAAUAUAUGAAAAAUAAGUUUGCUAAAAAAUAAAAACAGCAGCAAACCAAUAGUGUCGCAUCAUGACUGAGUUGUAGGAUACUGAAAUAAUUUAACUGAAAAGAAGGAAAAAUAAAUGCUGUAAAAAAAAAAACUGUACAUAUUACUACACAAAAUUUUAACAACAAAUCAGCAACCAAUCAGUUUUAAUUCUAUUUUAAAUAUUAAAAAAUAUUUAUACCAAAAUCUGCGAUAUCUCAGAAGAGUAUUGCGAUAUAAUUGUUCACAAUAUCGAUAUUAUUGUCAUAUUACCCAGCCCUAUGCUUCACUACUGUUUUUUUUUGUUUGUUUGUUUUUUAGCAGUUCGCAAAAGUAAAUAUCUUGAAAUAUAUUUUAAGUAUAUUAAUGCAGUAUUUUUGUCAUGUCAUUCACCCUCAUUGUCAUGUGUGGUAGAGCUGAAAUGAUCAAACUGUGCUGCACGCUGCCUUCCAGGACUCAGACUGAUGACCUCUGAUCUAAGAAAUGUAAUAACGUGGCCAUGAUGGGUCUCCAAAUCAUAAAGAAAGAAAGAAAGCUGCCUGAGUGAAACGUGGUGUACAGUGAUGAAACACACAUGGCUGUUCGAUUACAGAAAAUAAUCACCAUUUUACAACCUGAAACACUGAUGUUACACUGAUGUUACACUGUUUGGUUUGUAUAUAGUUUCUGUAGAAAUGUAAUCGAUGUUGUUUGUACAUUCACGAGUGUGCUGAUUUUAAAAUGUCAGCAGAUACACAAGAGAGAGAUUAGAAUAAAGGUGUAAGUGAACUAAACUGCAAAUAAACAUCCUCCACUGAUGAUCACA